This 429-nucleotide ribosomal RNA is filed under the name bacterium. RNAcentral's name for it is "partial 16S ribosomal RNA". It matches the Rfam family "Bacterial small subunit ribosomal RNA", at positions 355 to 776 of the family's 1533-position model. The record is from RNAcentral.
UAGGUAAUCUUCCACAAUGGACGCAAGUCUGAUGGAGCAACGCCGCGUGAGUGAAGAAGGUUUUCGGAUCGUAAAGCUCUGUUGUUGGUGAAGAAGGAUAGAGGCAGUAACUGGUCUUUAUUUGACGGUAAUCAACCAGAAAGUCACGGCUAACUACGUGCCAGCAGCCGCGGUAAUACGUAGGUGGCAAGCGUUGUCCGGAUUUAUUGGGCGUAAAGCGAGCGCAGGCGGAAUGAUAAGUCUGAUGUGAAAGCCCACGGCUCAACCGUGGAACUGCAUCGGAAACUGUCAUUCUUGAGUGCAGAAGAGGAGAGUGGAAUUCAAUGUGUAGCGGUGGAAUGCGUAGAUAUAUGGAAGAAAACCAGUGGCGAAGGCAGCUCUCUGGUCUGCAACUGACGCUGAGGAUAGAAAGCAUGGGUAGCGAACAGG